Molecule: transfer RNA, 72 nt
Filed under: Loxodonta africana (African savanna elephant)
Lineage: Eukaryota; Metazoa; Chordata; Mammalia; Proboscidea; Elephantidae
Rfam family: tRNA
About the family: Transfer RNA (tRNA) molecules are approximately 80 nucleotides in length. Their secondary structure includes four short double-helical elements and three loops (D, anti-codon, and T loops).
Source: Rfam by way of RNAcentral
GGAGGUAUAGCUCAGAGGUACAGCGCGUGCUUAGUACGCACAAGACCGAGGGUUCGAUCCCCAGUACACCCA